AAGUCGUAACAAGGUUUCCGUAGGUGAACCUGCGGAAGGAUCAUUAUUGAAAUAAACCUGAUGGGUUGUUGCUGGUUCUCUAGGGAACAUGUGCACGCUUGUCAUCUUUAUAUCUCCACCUGUGCACCUUUUGUAGAUCUGGAUAACUUUCUGAAUGCCUAGCAUUUGGGUUUGAGGAUUGACUUUAAUAGGUCUUUCUUUACAUUUUCAGAUCUAUGUUUCUUCAUAUACCCCAAUGUAUGUUAUAGAAUGUAAUCAAUGGCCUUUUGUGCCAAUAAACAUAUACAACUUUCAGCAACGGAUCUCUUGGUUCUC
RNAcentral lists this unclassified non-coding RNA (315 nucleotides) under air metagenome. RNAcentral describes it as "partial contains small subunit ribosomal RNA, internal transcribed spacer 1, and 5.8S ribosomal RNA". The stretch from base 1 to 46 matches the Rfam family "Eukaryotic small subunit ribosomal RNA", at positions 1786 to 1831 of the family's 1831-position model. The record is from RNAcentral.